This 205-nucleotide long non-coding RNA is filed under the name Carica papaya (papaya). Its description in RNAcentral is "long non-coding RNA (CPAP_LNC008523)". The record is from RNAcentral. Lineage: Eukaryota; Viridiplantae; Streptophyta; Magnoliopsida; Brassicales; Caricaceae.
UGGGGACAAACUUUUAAGGCAUGAAUCUAAAAAAACAAGAUAUAUUUGUAUGACACACUUUAAUCUUAUAAUUAGAGUAAUUAUUUAUUGUCCGAAUGAUUCUUAUUUUUUCUGUGAUAUUUAAGUGUUCGAAUUUUGAGUUGUAUCUCUUGUACACUCAUCAAAAGACACUAGUGUUAUUGGUAUUUUAUUGUGCAUGUGAUAU